This 11122-nucleotide long non-coding RNA is filed under the name Homo sapiens (human). RNAcentral's name for it is "HSALNT0127897". The record is from RNAcentral. Lineage: Eukaryota; Metazoa; Chordata; Mammalia; Primates; Hominidae.
UAGUUUCAUAUGCUUUAUUUUUUACUGUAGUAAAUGAAAAAUAUAGCCCCAUCAAACCAGAAAAUUGAAUCUUGCUUGAGGACAAUAAUUAAAAUUCUUCUUAAAUCAUCAAAGUCCAGGGCUUCCUUCAAAUGUAAACUUUUCUUUUUUAAAAAAGUGUGUCCUUGCUAUUUUUACAUACCAUCCGUUAUCCCCAUAAUUACAUAUCACCCUUAAAAUAUGGCAAGAAUCUCAGAAAAAAACAUGGACAUUCUUAGUAGCCUCUGUAAAAUAAUUUAUUUUUAGGUGUAAUAAUUAACAGCAAUAUAUCUAUAGUAUUAAAAUUUACAAAUCAUUGUUAGAACUGAGCAAUUCAUAGGUAACCAAUAAGGGAGGAAAGGAAUUAGAAAGCAACCAAGAAAAACAGCUGUAAGAAUAUGGAGAUAUUCUUCAUAUGCAAUAAGGUGGCAAAUUUAUUCAAAAAAGCAUGAUAAAUAUAAAGGAUGAGUAUAUUAUAAUAUACAUGUGCACAUAUUAAAUGUUUGAAAUCACAAAUUAUGAUUUAUUUUCUCAACUAAACUGUUACUAUAGAAUCAUAAAAAGGAAGAGAAUCUUGAUGAUUUUUCCAUUAGAGUAUACCAUGUUAGAUCUGGCAGAUGACUUUUCACUUUUUAUAGUGCUCCAAAAAUUGGUACACUUCCCUUUGCCUUUUGGAGACAUCACUGACUUUGAUAUUCAGAGUGGUAAAAUCAUGAUAUAAAAAUUCUUGCCCAUUGAAACUCAAUUAUCCUAUUUACUUGAUUUUUAGUCCCUUUCUUCAUUUUCCUUAUUUAGAUAUUAAUCUCUACUAAACAACCAUUACUCUAUUUAAAAAAUUUAAGUCUACAGCUUGAAUAAUCACAGCUCUAUUAAUAUUGGAUAUUAGGACCUCCCCGCAAUUUUUACUCCUAUAUGAUAUCAGAAAUAUUAGUAUCUUCUUCAAGGGAAAUGGGAAAAUUAUGUGAGUUUUAAAAGGGGUUUAUAUUUCUUUCUUAAAUUAGUAUUCAGAGUGCCCCAUAAUUCUGUUCUCAUAUAAGCAUUUCUCCUGUACAAUUUAAAAUCUGUUUUUUGAGAUUAAUUUUUUAAAUGAGUCUUCUUAGAACAUCUUGCUUUGGAGUUUGGGAGUUAAAUCCUUUCAUUAAAUGUUUAAAAAGAAUAUAUAUUCUGAUGUCUUGGGAUAGAACGUUCUAUAAAUGGCAGUUAGGUCAAGAUGGAUGAAAGUAUUGUUCAUGUCUUCUAUAUCCCUACUGAUUUAAGGCUACAGUUUUUAAAGACUGAUAGGGAGGGACUUGACGCCAGAAUCCUGAAGGAUAAAGUAAGGUAAAAAAGUGUGUAGAAAGACAGUAUAGAUCAGUGCUUCUCAAACUUUAAUGUGCAUAUGACUCACCUGGGGAAUUUAUUAAAAUUCAUAUUCUGCAUUUUAUAUCAGAGAUAAAAAAGAAUUCUGUUUGGGCAUAGAAGUUGUUUUCACCUGCCUCUGAGAUACUUGCUUCUAUACUAGCACAAUGGCAGCAUUGUUGGUUGUUCACCCCAUCCCCAUUCUUCUCUUUUUCCUAACAGCAACCCUUUUUUUAUUUGGAGUGGCAAAAUGUCACUAUAAAAGGAAAAAAAUCCCUCACCUUCCUAGCCUCCCUUGUAGUUAGGGUAACCAUAUGACAAAGAUCUGGCCAAUGGCAUUCAAGCAGUAUAUUUUGCCAGUAUAGUCUGCUGGUUAUAGUUGGGAAAGCAUUUAUUUUUCCCAUAUGAUAAUCUCACUUUCCUAUUUCAUCUUUCUUUAUUCUAAUUAGAUGGAAAAUAUGAGUCACGAGAUGACAGGCAAAUUAUUAGAACAAAAGGAUGGCAAAGAGAAAAUAGUGGCCUGGGUACUGGGUCACUUCUUUGAGUAGGUGCCCCAGUCUGAACUGCCUUGCUUUUCACUUUUCUGUUCUUUUCUCUCGAGAUAAAUGAACUCCUCCUGCCUGUUAAAGCCACUGGCAGUCAGAGUUUCCAGUGCUUAUAGCCAAAUACCAUUCUAACUGAUGUACUCACCAAUAAUAAUCGUAACUUCCUUUCAUAUGACACUUCAUGGUUUCUUCAUCAGCAUUAUGUGUGACACAAGCAAAAACAAAAACAAAAAAACUGCCAAUGUAUCUAUUUCAAGACAUCCCCAGAAUUCUGUUAUUAAAUAGCAUUGAUGAGGCAGUCAGCCAGAAUGUUUAAGCUGUCCUAAAUUACUGCCUCCUCUGUGUUUAGGGAGUCUGCUCUUGGUCUUACAAGUCCAAAAGCAGAAUAUUACAAAUUCACAUAGAAGUGAUCAGGAUCUAGAGACUUGAUUUAUGCCAUGCAGAUUCACAGGGCAUUUGUUUAUAAAAUUUGUGCUGGAAGAUUACUUGUGAACUAGGGCCAAACCCUUAAUUAUGACUAGGGAAACCCAGAAGAUAAAGUUGCAUUAAAAGCCUGCUUGAUGGAAACAGAAACAUACAAAAGAUGGCCUUACAGGGAAAAAGUUAAAGUGUUACCACAAAUGUAUACAUGAAAUGACCAAUAAUUUUAUUUUAUAUUUCAAAUAACUAGAAUUGUACAGAGUUUAAUUUUACAGCUUUAGGGCAAGGAUAAACUCAUUUUUAUUUUUGCAGUAAAAGGUAUAAAUAUUGAAAAUUAUGUAGGUUUAAAACUUUACUAUGAUAUAGACACAUUCUCAAAUUAAUGAAUUUUACUGAGCUUUUUAUAUCAAACUUACUGAUAUUUAAUGCAAAAUAAUAAAUAUUGAGAUUCUUGGUUGUACAUUAUAAAAUGCAUCACAGAGCGAUUUAUUGAUGCAAAGGAACCGUUUUGGCUCAUGUAAGUGAAAAGUCUAGGAGUCACAUCUUUAGGCAUCGCUGGAUCCAGGUGCUGAAAUGAUGUCAUCAGGCCCAAAAUGUCUCUUUAUUGCUUGAUUCUGCUUUCCUGAGUUGGUAUCAACUAGGAGACUCUCUCUACAUGCUCCAUGGCAGCUCCAGGCUCACACAUACUUAGUAUUAAGAUUUUCUCCUCUUCUUUAAUAUAAAGGAAAUUCAGCUAGAUGAUCUUUAGUUCAAAAUUCUGUGAUAUAUAAAUAACUCGAAAUAACUGCUAACAGUUAAUGAAACAUCUGAUUCAGUAAAGAUAAUGGUUAUUUACAAUUGAGUAUUGCAUAUUAAAAAGUUCAUUAAAGGUUUAUUUUUAUAGUUAUUUCAAAUUUGCCUUUUGCAUUUUUAGUAACUAUGAGUGAUACAAGCAAAACUACAACCUAGCACAAGUUGAAGUAUCACAAAUUUCAAGUCAAUUGCUACCAAAUUAGAUUUUAAUAUAAUUUAGAUACUAAUAUUAGUGUAUAUGUGAAAAGUGUUUGCUAAUGGGAAAUUUAGCCCAUUAAUUGUCAAUCAACAGUCAAGAUUUAGAAACCUCCUUUUUUACAAGAAACAAGUAGAAACUGGGAUGGGAGAAUAACAUUAGCAAUUGCAAACCUCAGUUCGUUCCAUUAAAAUGUUGAUUGCCUUGGGAAUAGAUGCUGUCACAGGAGAAAAAAGUGUAAAUUCAAACACUUAAGGAAUAAACUCUUAUAAAGUACAAUGUGAUUUAUCAAUUAAUUAAAUUUGAAUUCCAUGGAAUGAAAUAUAAGUCAACAAGUAUGACAGUUUGCUUGUUUAUUAUGGAAGAAUCAUUAAUAAUUUGAUAAUUAAAUGGUCCUGAAUGGUUAGCCAUGUUCUCCGCAUUUAAAUAAAUAGUAUAAACAUAAAUGAAAAUAUUAAAGUAAUUUCAACGUGAUAGAGACCACUUAUUUUUAGUUCAGGUAGAGUUCCAACCUAAUGGUAAUUAAGAUUCCAGAUCCGAAAGAUGUCAUGUGAAUAUUGCUCUGAAAAACCAAAAUUAAAGCUUUCUUAAAGAUGCUGUGUAGGGCUGAGAGGUUUUUCACUUGUACCAGUGAGAGCUGCAUCAUUAAUAGUCUUCAAAUUCAGCAAGUUCUGCCUCUAGAGAGCACCAGAGCAGCUACUUAUGAUUUGUUUCAUGACUCUGAAACUAUUACUCCCUCCAAUGGCUCUACAAAGCCAAUAUAAUGUGCACUUGGAUACCUAGUCCCUCAUGGCUACUGCACAAUGCUUAGGUUGUUUAUAUUUGGAAGUCAGAAAAACAUGUUGCUUGAAAGGCAUUAAGAUGCAUGGGGUCACUUAAAGCUAUUGACUAUAUUUUCAUUCUCUGUUGGCACUUAGGGAAGGCAUUUCCAGAUAAAUGUCUUCGGUAUGGCUAGUCAUUAGUUCUCUAAUCUGUAAUUUAGACACUGCUGUCAAACUAAAACAUCCAGUCCUUUGUUAAGCUCUGUUUUUUAUCACUUGCCCUAAGCUAUGAGCAAAAUGCCUACAUUGACAAUAACACAUUUAUUAAAUUGCUAUAUCAACGUAUUCACCACUCAGUCCAGCCUAGUGUUGCUAUUAAACUUUAGAUGUCUCUCCUAUGGGCUCUCAUAUCACCCAAUACAUAUCUUCACCAUGUCAGUAUUUACUUGCUGGGGAGGUGGCCUUACCCUACACUUGAAUUUCUCAAAGCCUGUCUUAAAGACUAGUAUCUUUUAAGUCUUUGGUUACAUCUAAGUUCCCAGCACUUAGCAGUGUCUGGCAUUUGGUAACUCUCAUUGUUGAACAGAUUGUUGCAAAGUUACUUGUUUUCCUUCCAUGGCACCAACCUUAAAGGUUAGAAUCACCAUUCCAAAAUUUCCUUUCCAUAAAUUUAUGUACAUCUUUUGAAACUCUGUACUUCCAGCCUUUAUCAUAUCUGAAAAUCUGACAUGAAAAUGUGUCAGCUCAGUUUAAUUACUGCAAUAGCUUCCUAACUUGAAACAAUUUGCCUCCAGUUUCUCCUUCAGGUUACCAAUUCUGUUCAAUGCAUCCAAAUUCAUGUUCCCUUAAACGUCUUAGAUUUUUAAUCCCCUAAAAUCAACUUGCUGCUCUAAGAAUAAAGUAUUAACUUUGCACUAGUAUUGAAGGCCAUCUCUUCCCUUCUCACUAAUUUUCAAUGAAAAUUUUAUUUAGAUAGUGAGUUGGGGGUCCCCAAGAUCAUACUGAGGUUCAUUGAUACACUUGGAAUCAUAGGACUCAGAAAAGCUGCUAUGCUCCCAGUUGCAGAUUAUAGUGAGAGGAUAUAGAUUAAAAUCAGUAAAUGGAAAAGGUGUGCAGGGUGAAAAUCAGGAGAAACCAGGCACAAACUUCAAGAUGUCCUCUCCCAGUGGAGCUGCACAGACAGCACCUAGUUCAGCAACGGUGUUUACCAACACAUGCAAAGUAUUGCUAAUAAGCUCUCUUGAGCCUUGGUGUUCAGGGUUUUUAUGAGGGUUCAGUCACAUAAAUAUUCAGUUCCCUCAUAACUGACCUUAGCUCCUGAAUCUCGUUUCCCAGAGCUUAAACUGUAACAGCAAGGCCUAUGGUCUCAGGCAUACAAAAGCACUCUUAACAGGUAAGACAUCCCAAGGACUCAAGAGAUUUUCUUCCAGGAACUGGUGAAGGACAGGUCCUUUCUUUGCAAUAAAAAGGAUUUGAGCCUUUACUGUACAGAGAGGUCAGUCUACUCCUUAUUACUCAACCACAUCUUACUCCUUCUUGCCUUCCUGUCUGCCAAUUUGAAGUUUUCCUAACCAUCUAUGGAAAUCCUUACUAUCCUUAGGGUCAAGCACAAGUCAUCCAUUUCCAUGAAGAUUCUCCUCCAAUCUCUCCCAUAUUGCUAUGCAUAGAGGAAAAUGCAUCUUUGCCAUGCAUGGGAAGCUUUUAUAUAUUGCCUUCAAACACCAGUUUACCGGGCAUGUCAUCUCUGUUACUGUCAUGCAGUAAAUACUCAGGAAAUGAAGGAUUACUAAUGAGUUGUUAAGGUUUAUUCUUCUUUCUUUAAUGUAGAAUUUCAUUUGACCUAAAAUUAUCCUUCCAAUCUUCAUAGAAUAUUUGGUUUUAAUAUACAAAAUUAAAUAUGCAAGCUCUUAUCCAUUCUUCAUUUCAGAUCUCUGGCAUAUUCUCAUUUCUCAUUUAUCUUUUCACACCAAAGAAAUCUAACCUUUUUAUAACUUAAUCACUUUGACUCUGGUUGCUCCUUUCUGUACUUUCUCUGCCUCGUGUUACUUUUAAAAAUUUGAUCAAAUUUUUAAUUUUAAAAUAUGUGAUUAAAAACAUCACAUUACCUUUGCACCAGGGAAGCAUACUUUCAUUUACAAUAAAUUUCCAGUCCUGUCCAGAAUUUUCAUAGUUUUUCUUUUCACCAAAAUUAUCAGGGAAUGCUAUCAAUUACUUCUUAGUACUUUUCCUAGGCCACAAUAAAUAAUUUGGAGUCCAUCAUUCAAUAUCAGGAUAAUUGUUAGCUAUCAUUAAUAUUGACAAAUUAGUAUGUUCUAGGGAGUGCUAACUGCUUAUCUUAAUCUUGACAGUACAAGGAAGCAGGUACUCAUUUUCAUAGCAACUAAGACAUGGUAAGAUUAAUAUGCUAAGCUCUGCAAACUAAGUAUGACUCCAGAGUCUGUGCCUUUCACUGCCAUGCUACACUGGACUAGCCCAAGACCCUAAUCAACAAUUUCCUUUUAAAAAUCAUACCUCCUAUGAGUGUGAAUUGAAGUGUCUCUGUAAUUAGCAGAAUCACAAUUAAAAUAAAGCUUAUCCAAGUCAGAUUCAGAGAGCUAUUUUUUAAAAUAAAAAUUUAAAUUUUAAAAUAAAAAAUUUAACUUUUAACUAUCAUUGUGAUCACUUUCAGGGCAUUUAUUUUAAAAUGUGAAAUAAGCCAUAGUGCAGCAUUUUCUGGCAACUUGUAUCAGUUAAUGAGUUUUCUAGAGUAUGAUUUAUUAUAAUCAUUUUGUUGAUAUGAGAUGAAACAUGAUAGCUUGUGCAUAUUUUCAUAUAUCAAACAGAAACAUAUUAGUUUCCUGCCUGUUCCCCACCCCAACACACACUAGUUUUUAAUACAAGACACAAUGUAUUGUGUCCCUGGAGUUGUCUCCCCACCCACCCUGACUCCUGGAUUCUUUUUAACGUAUUUCAAAUGUAAUAACAAUUUGGUACCAUACUAAUUAUAUGGCAUUUGUAAAGCCAGUAUAUGUGGAAAAAAAAAAAAAACCUACAUAAUAGCAAAAUAUAUGCAGUGUAAUUGAACAUUACCCUAAAGAGAAGAGAGAAAGCGUAUCAUAUCCUUGUAGGGACAUUGAUGGGAAUUUGAUACCAGUUGUAGCAAUGCUUGAUCUGUGCCAUUUCUAACAAGUAAUACUCUGUAAAAUAAAAGGACUUAGGCUGGGCGUGGUGGUUCAUGCCUGUAAUUCCAGCACUUUGGGACGCCGAAGUGGGCAGAUCACGAGGUCAGGAGAUCAAGACCAUCCUGGCCAACAUGGUGAAACCCCGUCUCUACUAAAACAAAAAAAUUAGCCAGGUGUGGUGGCGCGUGCCUGUAGUCCCAGCUACUCGGGAGGCUAAGGCAGGGGAAUCGCUUGAACCCAGGAUGCGGAGGUUGUAGUGAGCCAAGAUUGCACCACUGCACUCCAGCCUGGCGAAAGAGCAAGAAGUGUCUCAAAAAUAAAUAAAUAAAUAAAUAAAUAAAUAAAUAAAUAAAUAAAUAAAAAUUAAAGGACUUAAAAAAAAAGAAACAUUAAAAAAAGAAGGAAAUGAAAAGGCAUAACAAAAAACUAACACAAAAAUUGAGUUAAAAAAAAACUUAAUGCCAAAACCAAGAAGAGGUCGGAAAGGUAUCUGGAAGAACAAUUCUCAGCUCCUUCAUUCCCCAGAUGAUGCCAGUAAGUAGGAGAUGGCAUACUGUUAACUAAUGAAAGAAAUUCUCCUGGUGAAGUCCUAUUUCGCCUUUAUCCUUAGAAUUAUGCAACCUACAGACUUAGCAAUCUUAAAAGAAAAAAAAUAGAUGGGGAAAAUAAUUGACUUGAAUUAUAUUUAUUUUAAAAAGACUGUUUCUAGUUGUUUUGAAUGAAUCCAGAACCCAUAAAUUAUAUCCCAGAAUACUGAAAGAAUCUGAUGAAAUAACACGACCUUCGACAGUAAAUCUGAGUCAAGAUGAUUUGGUUGAGGUAGAUACAGACAGAUAGAAGCUUCACAAGCACAAGAAUACUGUUCCCUGGCCUAUCCACAGCUUUGAGCAUACUGCCUGGCAUGUAUUAAUGGCUUGAUAAGUGUCCCUGACAAAAUUCCAAAAUCUAUUUUUUUGAAGUUUGUGGACAGGUAGAAAAGAAAGCAAUGGCCACUAGGAGGCAGCAUCGAUUUAUGAAGACUAAGCACGUCUCAUGGUUUCCCACUAUACAGAGGAAUGAAGAUCACAUCAAAGCAUCUGACCAAAUCUCACAUCAAUAAUCCCUAUAAACAGGAUGGAGCAUAAGUACUAGAUAUCUCACAAUUAAAUGAAUUUGUCGCUAGUUUAAUGGGAGCACUAUGCUAUUUAAUGGGUAUCAAUCUAAAUGGAGAUAGCUUUACCUUAUCAACAUUUUUUUCAGUAUUACAUGUAGACAGAAAGGAAUUUUUAUCAAAUUUGCCCAUGACUUAAAACUGAGAUUCACAGCCCAAGUUUUUUUAAACCCAAAAUAAGUAAAAUUUAAUUUAAUAAAAUUAAAUCUAUAUGAGGUAAUGACUAUACAAGUACAGAAUGGAGAGGUUCCUCUUUACAUGUGAAAGACCUUUGAGUUUACACUUUCAAACUCCUUGAGUCAAGAAUAUUCGCUGACAUAGAAACAAAUUUUAUUGUACAUUUCUUAAUACUGUAAACUUACACGUACUUCCCACAUAACCUCAAUUCCUCAUCUAUUCUCUUGUAGAGAUAUGGUAGUCAGUGGGACAGACGCUUAAAAAGCUGACAAGACCUAUAUUUUUAACUUUUAUACAUUGGCCUUUGACUACCUGGAAUAGUAUUAAAUAGCUGUUUACGGUUAUGUCCUCAAAAUCAUACCAAAUGUUUAAAAUGCAGUCUAAUGCUACUUUUUACAACCCAAGAAGAUAGCUGUUAUUAUCCUUAUCUUGAAUAAGAUCCUGUGUUUGAAAUCAAUUCUGUGGGGUUAGAGACUCAUCCCAGCAGGUAAGUGCUAGGUCUUUUAAUAAUUCCACCACUUUCCUUCGCUGUUUAGUGACUAUUCCUUUUUGCUCCAUUACACAGCUGCUGAACCACAACGAGUAGGGCCCAAGAAAAUUUUUAAAGCACCUUAGGUAAUUGUAAUGAAAACGGCCCACAAUGCAGGUUUGGGAACUGCGUUAGAUCAUCUGAAUAUUUCUCAUCAGGCUUCUGAUAGAUGCUUGAUAGCAGAUUUUAAGACUAUACUUUCUGAUAACAGGCAGUAUUGUAUAAAAAGCUGAAAGACCUAGUUGAAUUUGAGCACUGUUACUUACUAGUGCUACCUCUUACAAGUCACUUGACCCUGCUGAGCCUCAAUUUUCCCAUAUAUAAAAUGAUCAUUGUAAGCACUCAGCACCAGGCCUGGCACAUGAUAUGCACUCAAUAAAUACUACCUACUAAUUUUGAAGAUGAAGGCCCAGAAUAUACUAACUAUAUUGUCAGUUAAGAGUUGCCUUACAACCCUGGCUACUAAAUUGUCUGGUUCACAUGCCAUUACAAAGGGCCUUUACUUUCUCAUUCCCAUGAUGAAUCUCAGGUUACACGGCUGAGGAAAAUGUUGACAUCGUUAUUCUGUAUUUGCAUUAAAUACCAUUUAAAAGUUGUUUUUAUCAUACUUAUAUCUCACAUUAUUACCUUAAAAAUUCCGAAGGAUGUUAUAAAGUUGUUAAACAGGAUGUUUAAGCAAAUAUUAGUAAAACUUUCUCUCUUGCUCUUCUGGGAUCAAGAUUUGUAAUAUUUAGCCAAAACUGUCAGCAUGUGAGGCCAAGUUACCAAAGUGCUUUGACAUAAAAGCAAUGUUAUUUUAAACUAUUAGUUUAGAUAGUAUCUUGUCAGUUAAAAAAAAAAAAGUCCCUUUUGCAGUUAAUUGCCCUUUCCAAAUAACUUUAAUGAAAAUAUCUUGCCAAGAAACAUCUCUUUGAUUCAUUAAGCUGGGUUUAGAUUGUGCCUGAGUCACAAAGCACAGAGGUAAUUACAGGUUGAAAUUGAUUUAUCUGACUCUGGACUUCAUUUGUACUGUUAGAAUGCAUUUUUCUUAGCAACUGAACAAUGUGUAUUCUUAUUUAAUUUUUGGAAUUACUUUACCAAUUCAAAAUGCCAUAUACUACAAUAUUUCAUUCACAGUCCCUAAAUUUGCCUGUUUGCCUUACCCACUUUCCAUCAUUUUAUUAAUAAAUUGAUUAUAAAACAUUAUACUACAAGUCAAGUACUUAUGAAUAGCCAAUACUAGCUAACUUCUCUAAUUCUCCCAGAGACAGCCCUUAACAUCAACCAAAUAAUUCUAGAGAAUAGUGCUUCUCCCCUUAUAAGGCUGAUUUGAGUGAAGAUAUUUUCCUCCCCCAAAAAGCUAUUAUGUUUAAUAAGUAUGAAGUUUAAAAUAUUUUAAAAUAUGAAUGAAACCCACCUCUAAACUCUCUAUAAGGAUCUAUUCCAGAAUUUAUACAAAUUGUUCAUUUUUUCUUAUUGAACUUGUAUUAAGCCAAGGGUCAGCAACUAUGCCUUCAAGCCCAAUCCAACCCCCACCUCCAUUUUUAUAAAUGAAGUUUUACUGGAAGACAGCCACUAUUCAUUUAUGUAUUAUCUAUGGUUAUUUGUAGGCCACAAUAGCAGAGGUGAGUAGCUGUGACAGACCACAUGGCCUUCAAAGCCUAAAAGACUAUCUGGAUCUUCAUAGAAAAAGCUUGCCAACUACUAUUUUUAAGCACUUUCAUAAAAACAAAACAAAUAAACUAUUUAAAUUUGUUUCAAUUACAAGGAUGUAAAUAUUUUUCUAUGUUCUUCUCAUCACAAAGACACACACUUGGGCCUAUACAUGAGUUGAUCAGAAAUUUUAUGGACUAGCCUGAAUAUCUAAACACUACUUACAUUGUUUCUUUCAAUUAUUUAAAAAACUGAGUUGACGUCUUCUGAAAUCAGGUUUAUGGAUAAUGAAUCAUGGAAAAUUGCUGACAAUAAUAGCUAGCACUACUUCAAUACAAACUUAGAGUUUAUUUACUCACAUUUAUAAACUAACUUUAACAUUAGAAAUUCUCCAAUUCUUAAA